CCUGCAACGAGCGCACCCCCUGUAAAUAGUUGCCAUCAUUAAUUUGGGGACUCUUGUGAGACUGCCUACGCAAGUAGAGAGGAAGGUGGGGAUGACGUCAAAUCAUCACGGCCCUUAGGCCUUGGGCCACACACGUAAUACAAUGGCCGGUACAGAGGGCCCUACACAGUGAUGUGAUGCAAAUCUCGAAAGCCGGUCUCAGUUCGGAUUGGAGUUUGCAACUCGACUCUAUUAAGCUGGAAUCGCUAGUAAUCGCGCAUCAGCCAUGGCGCGGUGAAUACUUU
RNAcentral lists this ribosomal RNA (284 nucleotides) under Chryseobacterium sp. October_NA5B8. Its description in RNAcentral is "partial 16S ribosomal RNA". It matches the Rfam family "Bacterial small subunit ribosomal RNA", at positions 1086 to 1372 of the family's 1533-position model. The record is from RNAcentral. Lineage: Bacteria; Pseudomonadati; Bacteroidota; Flavobacteriia; Flavobacteriales; Weeksellaceae.